Molecule: non-coding RNA, 32 nt
Filed under: Mus musculus (house mouse)
Lineage: Eukaryota; Metazoa; Chordata; Mammalia; Rodentia; Muridae
Source: RNAcentral
AUGGCCUCCUCACUGUUUUAUGUUCUAAUGGU